GAAACCCUAAAUCCCUAAUGCUCUCGACCUUUCCUUAAACAAGCGACACCUCCAACGCUCUAAGGCCCAAGCCAACAACCACCAUCUACCGCUGCAGGGCACCUCCACAAAUGUCCAGGUGUCAGUGUCAUCUCUUCUCACUUCUCAGUUAUUGGCCUUGGUGCGUGACUUUGCUCCAUUCUAGCAGCCGACUGUUCUGCCAUCACAGCCACAGUCUCCAUCAUCAUCUCCUUAGCCGCCAUCACACCACCAUCAUAGGCAAGUGGUAUUGAUUUUUUGACUUCUUAUUUUUCCCUUUCAUGUAAUUUUCGUAGCUUAUUUAAAAAAAUGAUGAAAUUAUUAUGAUUAUCAAGUGUUAUAAUUGUAUAUAUGCUUUAUUUUAUUCUAUUAUCCUUUUUGUUUUUCCUCAAUUCUAUGCUCAUGUGAUUAUUUUUUAUAAUAAUAAACAUAUGUAAAUUGUAUAGGACCUGAAUUUAGGUUGCGGCGAUGUUAUCAAGUUAAUUGUGAAUUGUCAGUUGUUAGAAAUUUUGGGAUUUUCAUAAGUUAUAUCGGUAAUUGAUAUUGUAAUUGAGCUUAUGAUAUGUUGGUUGUUACAGUUAUUUAGAUUUAUUUUGUGAUUAUAAUGCUGUUGAAUUUAAAUUUUUGAUAGAGAUUGAAUAAGUUGAGAAUAGGGAUUGAAUGAAUCUAGAUAGUAGAUUGAAACGGCUUUUAUUUGUUAUUUAUGUAAAAAAAUUUCUACACUAUUAAAUAUUCUUUUAGUGCUCAUGAAAACAGAGCACACUUUCUCAAAGAUCUCAAUACUUUUAUUGCAUGGCUUCCUUCUGAAGUACAGGAAGACAUCUUUGAGAAGAUCAUCUCUCACAGGAGAGAUCCGGAAGAUCAGGCUCUGACAUGGCGGGUAUGGCAGCUCAUGGCCAUGCAAGAACACAGACCUGCCCAUAACAAGAAGUGCCAAAGAGCCUUCGAUCCGCAUCCAAACCCGGACCAGAUGCAUGAAACUAUCUUCAAGGUUGGUUGCACUUUUCACUAUGUGAUAGAUGAGAACUCCAAUUGGGGUCAUUAUGUCAUUUGCGACAUAACCCCUCAAGCUUACUACAUCACAUGGUACUGGCUCAACAUAUACCCUGUGGCAAUACUGUUCGAACCAAACCUGAUCCAUACCAGCCGAAGAUACGGUAAAGGAAGAUGGUUCGAUCGAAUGUUUGCCCCCAUCUUUGAAGAUGUCCUCACACUAAAGCUCAUCAACGGUUAUCACAUCACUCACUCUACAAUAGUGAUCGUGAAAUUCACAGAUAUUUGGGGACGGUACAAAGAGCCUUUCAUACAGGUAGUCCAACAUGACCACUCCCAUGAAGAAAUCGAUUCCAUGUGGACUGGUUGCUGGAACGCUAGGCAGGCCUUAGCAGAGGUAUACGAGACUGUUCUCAUGUACAACACCUACAGUCCAGUAUCCCCACAAGUCUGCAGUACUCCAGACCUUUACUACAGAGAGGAGAUACGAAAUCUCAAACUACAUGGAGACGAAGACGAGGCAGCCGACAUGCAGCAUAAGUAUAAUGACUACUUUUCCCGACAUGGCAGGCCACAAGACAUCACUAAUCGCUUCUUUCCACGUAUUUGUUCUGAAUGCUUGUUGACAUAGAAUGCUGGGCUGGCCCAAUGAGACUUAGAGGGCCUGAUGAGCUUUAGAUCCAUAAGGGCCUGGAUCUCUGAUUUGCACAAUUCUUCGUCAUGGGGCAUGCCUGGAUGAGAGGCUGUCUGGUGAGGCAUGGUUCAUCUAUCUUUAUAUGGUAGAGACACAAAGUGUUGUUCUCUAGCCCAGAACUGGUUUGGUACUUCGGCACAACAUUCAAGGAAUUCCUUAAUUUGGGGUUCAUAUUUAUGGAUUGGGUAGUCUGUUAGUUUUCCACCCUCUCCAAAAAUGGAUUGCUUUUCAACCCAAGGAACUUGAAAAGUAUGCUGAGAACCAUCGACUGGAUUGCGGAUGGUGUAAGAGAAUCCUUCAGGAAAGAAGGCAAAAGGGGCAACCAGACGGAGAAAGUCGGUGCCAAGGAGGAUAUCUUCGCCGGAGUAAUCGAAGGCAAAGAACCCAUGUUGGAUCAUAAAAGGUUGGAUCUCGAUAGGACGAGUAACCUUUUUGCUGUAGAAGUCCCUGCCACUGGCGGAUCCGAAAGAAACCUUAGUAGGAACAUAGAAUUGUCGGGGAACACAGGCUUCUCGGAUAAAUGAGCACAUAGCUCCUGUGUCAAUGAGAGCAGUAAGAGCUACCUGGCUAUCUUCAGAGGGAUUGAGGAUGACUUUGAUGUGUGGUCGGAAGUGGGAAGACCGUUGUAUGGCAGAAGUAACUUGUAGAGGUUCUCGAACAGUGAGAACAAUGUCAUCAUCAUCAUCAUCGGGGGAAUCAUCGUCCGUUGUAGAAGCAGUAUCCUCAGAAUCAGAAAGAGGAUAUUCAUCAAGAGUAUAGACAGCACCAAAGGGGUUAUCGGACCAGGUAUAAAUAUCGUCAUCAAAAUCAUCUUGCUGGAUCAGCUGGAUGAGUUUGGCUGGGAGUUUCUUUUUGGAUUUACAUUGUUUAGCAUAGUGGCCUUUCUUGCCACAGAUGAAACAUCUACCAGAGCCUUUCUUGUGUUUUCGUUUUUUGAUGAAACGGUAUUUUUUCCCUUUGUAUGGUUUCCAGGGGCGUCUGGCUUUCUUUUGUCUGCCAGGAUUACAAGAGCACAUUUUGUCUAUAUGUUGGCAACCAAAUUUGUUUGGUUCCUCAUUACAGAAUUUUUGCAGAGAGGAUUUCUCAAUCUGCUUCAUGUGUCUUCGUAAAUCUUGAGAUCGGCAGUGGCUUUGAAUAAGCUCCAUUGCAAUCUGGUAGAGCUAGGCAAGGCUGAGCUGUGCUAAAUCAGUAAUUGCAUCAGCUUUGAAUUUGGCCUCCAUCAUUUCUGCAACUGGGCCUGGCAUGUUUAGCACAAAUGUCCUGUGUAUGGUAUCAGAUUGUUUGUCAAAGAUGUAGUACAACCUUUCCUGCUCCAGGUAGUACUCUUCCAUUUUCCGAACAUCACAACACUUGUUUUGGAGAAAUUGCUUUUCAGCAACCUCUUCUUCUCUUGUGAACUGGCCUAGAAAAUCCAAGGAUAGAUUUUCAACUAGGCUUCCAUAAGGAUCUUCUCUGCUGAGAAUGAAUUGUCGUUGCUCACCAGUAAGCUUUCAUCCCCACCAUCGUCUUAGCGAUCCAACAAAUCCUGCUACCAGCCGUAAUGCGGCUGAUCUUCUGCUCAACUGGGGGGCUCUUUGACAUUCUCCUUCAUACCAUGCUACCAUUUUCUCAAAAUAAGCCAGCCUUUCUUUAGGCUUCAUUCCAUCAAUGUUCCAGAAUAUCUUUCCGGUUGUGGAAUGUCCGAGUUGUACUUGGGUUUCCCAUUCUUCUCCUUGAUUGACUUUAUCUAUAUGAGGGGCACGAUCAGUAGGUGCAUCAGCCGGAUUGGAGGAGGCUUAUGUAGCUGCUAGUUCUGUGAAUUCAGGGGCAGUGAAUUGUGUUGUCCUUGAUGGGUUUUGAGUUUGCCUUGUAGGAUCAGAGGUUUGGCCAGGUGUUGUUGUUGAAGCUGCAAAUCUGGUACGUGUAUCCACAUAAAAUGGAUUUGUAGGAUUAGCUCUCUGCAUUAGAAUAGGAAUUGGAGGGUUCUCCGUAGAAGAGAUGCUUGAGCUAUCAUCAGUAUCUGUUUUCUCGUCCCACCCAGUAGCCUUCUGAGGCCAUGGGUAUUGAGGAGGAGGAGCAUAGCUUCUCCAAAAUGCUUUCUGGCAAUUCCCAGAUGCAUUUUCCUCCUAGAUGUGCCACGGUUUUGUAGGCUUGCUCUUCCAGUGCCUGGACACCUUUGGUUGUUGAUAACUCUCCCUUGUCCUUCUCAUUUCAUCUUCGUCUGCAGCUCCGGUCAUCACAAUCAUGUUGACUGACCUGGAGGCAUUUUCAUGUAGUUGAGAGAACUAUUGGGUGGUCAUUUUAUGCUGCUUUUUGUUUUUCUUUAGCUAUUUUCUGAUUACAGCUAAGUCAGCAAGAAUCUGUUGUUGAGUGACCAUGAUGUCUCCCAAGGCUUGGUUUUGUUCCACAGCAUUGAUGUUUGACCAGUUGAUUGCCUUCUCAAUUGGGCCGAACUCUGUUGGGUUAGUUUUCUGUAUUACCCAUUUGGCAGCAUACAUUCCUCCGGGGAUAUCUUUAAUGAACUCAUUAUCAAGAUCCGGAGUGGUAAUCAUGUUUACUGGACCCAUGAUUCUGCAAGAGGUAGUUCUUCUUGGCAUAUGUGUGCACAAGGAGGGAUGCUUUCCUUCAAGCUGGCAUUUUUCACAUGGAUAGAGAGCUUUAGUCUUUGUGGGGAAAGAGACUGAUACUCUUCCUUCUUGUAGCCUGCUUAUCUUUGGGACCUCAUGGAUUUGUUGAGGCCAGUUGUUUUUCUCAUACUCAUUAAUCCAUUGUGGUGGAAAAAUGAGUUGGUUUUGCCUAUAAGUCCUGGGUUGAAAGACUCUGCCAUCACCAGCAAGAAAUCUGGUAAUAGGCCUGCCAGAGCUACUCAUAGAGAACAGAUGGGUUUGGACUUUAUAGGUCAUAGUGUGGUGGAUUGCCAAGGCAGAUUCAUCAGGUUUCAUGGUUAGACCAUUGACCUGAAUUAAUACCUUAAUGGCAUCUGUGAGGGACGGCUUGUGUAUGUCAAGGGUAAAAUUUGGCUCAACUUGGAGAACAACAUGGCCUUGGUUGAGUCCUGCUUCAACAGCAGUAAUUAAAGCCUUUUUCAAAAGUUUGCCAUCUGGUGUCUAAAAUGGUAAUGAAACAUGUGAUAUCUUUUCCAGCUAGGAAUAAGGGUUGUAUUCCUGUCUGGAUUUCUCCAAGGUGUAGUCCCUUGUAUCCCUGAAGUUUAUACCUUGUAAUCUCGCUGGAAGAGAUUAUGGGAAGGUAUGUUUCUUUUGAGCUUGAGGAGAUUGACUGGACAGUGAUUUCAGAGGAUUUGUAGAUGGUUUUUAGCUUAGGUUGUCUUAUGGGGAUUAUGGCUCUUAGGUGGUUAAGAGUAGGACUAAUAUGGUAGUAUCUGUAAAGAUCUAACGGAUCAAGUCUGAAGGACUGAACCGCUCUCUCACUGUUUUCAUCCUCUUGGGUUUCAUAAUGGAAGUUUACAGAGGGUGAACUAUCAGUUGGUACUCUGAUGGCCGAAGUAGAUGGUUGGUCAGAAAUUGGUUGGUUACUGGAUCUGUUACUGUUUUGGGUUUCCAUGGCUAAAAGAAAUCAGAGGGUUUUCCUUGGGGUGAUAAGCCCUAAAACACGGCACUUCUUGGCCUUCUCAAGGGGGCGCCACACCUUACAGAAUUUACUCUGUAGUGUUUUAGUAUGGAAAGUUUAGACAGGCAGACUAGUAUCCAACAACUUUCUGAUGUGGAGGAUCCGAAGUAUUUCGGCAACCACAGAGCAUAGUAUUGUUGCACACCCAGGGGUUUCCUUUUGAGAAAUAUGGCUCUGAUACCAAAUAAUUUGUUUUAGAGCAAACAGAGGAAGGUUACUUUCAUUAAAAGGAAUGAGAGAUUUAAAAUACAAUAUUGCACUCCAAGACUCGAUGCCUAUCAACAAACCAAGGGUUCCCUUUUAUAGGCACAAGGGAACCACUAUUACAUACUGUAGACAUUGUUAAACCUUAUCACAAAGGAAUCUACUUUACAACUCACUCUUUUACUUUAUGUCACACUCACACUCUUAUCCUUAUCUCUAAAGAUGGUACAUAAUACAUACGAAUACAAAUACACUAUAUUAUUAUCAAACAGAUUUAAUCUCCCAUUUCGGCAACCACAGAGCAUAGUAUUGUUGCACACCCAGGGGUUUCCUUUUGGGAAAUAUGGCUCUGAUAGACCAAUCACCAUGAUCACAAGAAGAAGCGUCCCGAGACGAUGGGAAGAAGGCAGCUCCAGUGCUCAUGAAAACAGAGCACACUUUCUCAAAGAUCUCAAUACUUUUAUUGCAUGGCUUCCUUCUGAAGUACAAGAAGACAUCUUCGAGAAGAUCAUCUCUCAUAGGAGAGAUCCGAAAGAUCAGGCUCUGACAUGGCGGGUAUGGCAGCUCAUGGCCAUGCAAGAACACAGACCUGCCCAUAACAAGAAGUGCCAAAAAGCCUUCGAUCCGCAUCCAAACCCGGACCAGAUGCAUAAAACUAUCUUCAAGGUUGGUUGCACUUUUCACUAUGUGAUAGAUGAGAACUCCAAUUGGGGUCAUUAUGUCAUUUGCGACAUAACCCCUCAAGCUUACUACAUCACAUGGUACUGGCUCAACAUAUACCCUGUGGCAAUACUGUUCGAACCAAACCUGAUCCAUACCAGCUGAAGAUACGAUAAAGGAAGAUGGUUCGAUCGAAUGUUCGCCCCCAUCUUUGAAGAUGUCCUCACACUAAAGUUCAUCAACGGUUAUCACAUCACCCACUCUACAAUAGUGAUCGUGAAACUCACAGAUAUUUGGGGACGGUACAAAGAGCCUUUCAUACAGGUAGUCCAACAUGACCACUCCCAUGAAGAAAUCGAUUCCAUGUGGACUGGUUGCUGGAACGCUAGGCAGGCCUUAGCAGAGGUAUACGGGACUGUUCCCAUGUACAACACCCAUAGUCCAGUAUCCCCACAAGUCUGCAGUACUCCAGACCUUUACUACAGAGAGGAGAUACGAAAUCUCAAACUACAUGGAGACGAAGACGAGGCAGCCGACAUGCAGCAUAAGUAUAAUGACUACCUUUCCCGACAUGGCAGGCCACAAGACAUCACCUAUCUGGAUACCCCAAAUAUUGACAGAUGGAGGAACGAACUUGAAGAUAUGGCCAACUGGCUAGACCUCCAAGAAUGGCCCCAGCCAGAACUAAACCCACAGCCAGACUCGAUUUGGCCCAAUAUUGGAGAAGACAUGGACGCCGCAUUUGAAGAACGAUGGAACCAUCGGUCAGGACGUAACACGCCAACCAGUGGCAACUCUGGACUGUAGCGGAAGCUUAGUGGACCCUGCAGUGGAAGCAUUGGUGAUAAUAAUAUAGUGUAUUUGUAUUCGUAUGUAUUAUGUACCAUCUUUAGAGAUAAGGAUAAGAGUGUAAGUGUGACAUAAAGUAAAGGAGUGAGUUGUAAAGUAGAUUCCUUUGUGAUAAGGUUUAGUGUGAGUGUGAUAUAAAGUAAAGGAGUGAGUUGUAAAGUAGAUUCCUUUGUGAUAAGGUUCUUAUCCAAGUAGAGAAAGCUUGGACCAAAAAUCGGUGCUCGGGAGGUGCCAGGCUUGACCUAGCGCAUAUGUGGAAAACCGAGCAUGAACUUCAGUCUCGGUAGUUGGAUCAAAACCUAACCCAGACAUAGUGUUUUGCCAAUCCUAGUGAAAAGCCUCACUCUUUAUUUAAUUCAUUUUUCAAAAACAAGUAUGAUUAAAAAAAAGAAAAAAGGUUGUAUAAGGAUGUUAAAAGGGGUGUAAAAAGCAUUACUCUCAAUUUAAAUUGGGCCUACUUUUUAAAUGAGUAGGCCUCUUGACACCUCCCUGGAUUAAUAGUGAUUUGCUUACAACAUUUAGUACAAAAAGGACUUCUUGCAAUAUUCUCUGAAUUAUUGGUGAAAAUUUAAAGUUUUAGAUUCAAAGAUUUUACUCAUAAUCUUUGUUAUAUUGAUAUUGAACAACUGGAUGAUUUCUCCUUCCAUCUCUUAUACAUCUAUUUUUAGAAUAUUUUAAAGUUUUAUCUGUAAUUUUAUAAGGCUCUAAAUGAUUAUCAUGUUCAUAGGUAUUUGUGAAUUCUAAAUUAGCACCUCCAUUUUUAAUUAUUUGUCUCUCUUAAGACAAACUAAAUUUUUUCUUUCAACAUAUUUAUGUAUAUAUCCAGUCUAUUUUCCUAAUUAAGUUACAUUCUAUCAAUGCUUUCACAUAGAUAUUGUAAUCUAAAUUCAACAUUUUGAAUCAAAAAAUUCAUCGUUAUUGUUGUUCGUCAUUUAAUUUAUUAUGGCCAAUCUUUAGUCCUGCUAUUUGUUUUGCAUCUGUCUUGAAUUAUUUCAAGACUAGUUAAUAUGUAUUCCUUUAAUGUUAUCCUAUUCUCUUCUUCAAAUGAAUAAAAUAUUUCUCCAUUAUCCUCUAAGUUUAUCCUUUUCAUUUCUUCAUACGAGCAUUUGUUCAUAACUAGUCUAGCUUUAAGAAUAGAGAUUGUAUAAAUAACUGGAUAUUCUUGACUAAAGUCUAGAUUAUCAAUUGCAUCUAAAAAUUCGUCAACUGAUCUUUCCAUUUUUAUGAAUUUGAGUUACUAUUAUCACUUCUUAUCUUAUAAAAUUCUAGAAAAUAUUCAAGGCUCAACAUGCUUCUAUUUGUUCAAAAUACAAGAAGAUAAUUCAAAGUACUAGCUAGUCUAUUAUUCCACGGGAUUUGGGAUUCUGAAAUAAAUUUACUAGCUCUCUCUAGCCAUAGAUUGGUCCAUGAUUGGCACUGCAGUAGCUUUACAAUCUUGCAAGAUCACCUCAACAAAUGUUCCGGAUAGCCCCAUGCAACACACUGCAAAAUGAGCUAACAUGAUCUGUUUGAGCGAUUUUCCUGCAAUUGCCUCUGGGAGAGUGCUUCGUUGUAUGAAAUCUACUUCGUUUAGUACAAGUGUUGGCAUGUAAGCUUCUUAAUUUAUUUCUAAAAAUAUAACAUAUGUUAAAGAUGAUAAUUUCACUCAAAAAGAGUUUUAUUUAUUUUAUUUCUGAAUCUACACAAAAGAAAGAUGAGAGGAAUCAAGAUGAUUGUUGACAAUGAGGAUUUAUAAGCGGUAGCCCACUAUCCUUACAUGAUUCUAUUUAUAGAUUUAAAGAGAUAAGAUUAUCCCUUCUUACAUGACACUUAUUACAUUUGAGUGGUGGAUGAUAGAUUCUUUCGAGAUAAGGUGACACUCCUCCCUUUAUUCUUUAGGAUAGUUUCACUUUCCUUUUCCUCAUGGCCAAUAACCUGAUUGCUUUUAGAGAUAAGGCUUAUCCUUUCUAUUGGAUUCUUUCUCUAUGAAUUAAUGAUGUUUUUAGCUGGUAUCUUUUAUAUUUUUCAGUGGACCCUUGUCACAUGCCAAUUGUCAGUUUGUCAUCUAGUGACAUGUCUUUUUCACUGGAUCAUUUUUUAGAUUUUUUGUAGCAAAAGCCACAUUUUGAUUCAUGCUUAAGCAUCUUCUAUAUCUUAUGGUGUGUUGGCACACUAGAUUCUGCAAGAGUUUCAUACAUUGCCUUGUUUAGCAGAAAUAUUUUCUUUCUGCUUAUAAAAAAGACUAUAUAUUCUGACGUGACUUGGUGAAGGCAUACCUUUUCUUUACUUAUCCUCUCAAGUUGCUCAUAGAGGAUUUUCAUCUCAAUUGCCCAGUUGCUGGUAAGAAGUUUAAGCUUAAACAAUCCAAAAUCAUAAUCAUUAUAGACUUGAUUUAAAUCAAUGGUUGGAUUAAUCAUGUCGCUACUAAUUCCAACUUGUAUCAUGUGUUGUGCUAGGUACCAUUUAUUAUUAUAGUACUCAGGGCAAGUAGUGAGGAAUUUGACAAAAAAUGCUUGUUUUGCCUUUGUUAUCCUUUUGAGUGGUAGCUUCUUUGAUUUCUUUGGGAAGCAUCUCUAAUUCUUUGUAAUUAUUACUAACAUAAAUAAGGUUAAUGAAACUAUGUUCAAACAUGUCUUUUAUUAUUUCUGGAUCAGCUCCUGGAAUAAAGUUAAUUCUCGGGAACAACCUUGAAUGAUCUGGUAUUAUAUCCUCACUGGGAUGAAUCUCAUAAGCUAUCUUACAAAUUCUUUAAUAUUCACAAGCUCAGUCACUUUCUAAUGGGAAUUUAACCAUUAAACUGGGUUAUCUGCUUUUACUAUAUUUAGGUCUUAAGCUCACUGAAGAGCUUUGAGAACCUUCUCUCUUUAUGAUUGAUCUAUGAGAUUAUUAAUUGUGAGAAAUUUCUUUGAAUGUGUGAUUUUUGAGUUUUGUGAAGAACUCUGGAUAACUACCCUUCAAUUUGAUCCUUGAAAUGAACUUUUUUUAGCAUACAACUAAUGAAUUGUUGUGAAGUAUAGAACUUUCGGAUGAUUUUUCAAAUUUUUGUCCAGACAAAGUUUGCUCGAUUCCUCUUGGGCAUCAUCAAUCAUUGAAAGCCCAUCGUAUAUCAUUGAAUUACCUUUGAGAAGCAAUGCCUGUUCUUUAGAGCACAUUGUUAUGGUCUUUAUUAUUUUUGAAAGGCUCUUAUCUGUUGUAUUCUUUAGUUAGGAAAUCUGAAAUAAAAUUGUUAGAUUCUUUAAUAUAUUUUAUCUCAAAUCAUAUUUUCUAAAUAAUUGCUGCCAUCUAAUUAAUUUUUUAUACUGAGGUAAAUUAGGUAACUUAUUAAACAUAAAUCUUUUUAUUAUAACUUACCUGGAAAUAAGUAUAUUUUCUCAGAAAUAUGAGGUUGCAUCUUAAUUUUUGUUUCAUCUAUUAUUAAUCCUAGAAACUAUAUUCUAGGUUUUGUUAUUUCAGAUUUAUUUUGAGAAAGUGAUAUUCUAUGUUUCUUGCAUUUUUUGGCAAAAGAAACAAGAUGAUUAAUUUGAUUAAAUUCAUUUUUUGAAAAUAUUAAUAUAUAAUCUAAACAAUGCAGAAUUCAUGAAAUUAUUUAAAGAUUUUAUCCAUUUUUCUUUGAAAUAUCUAUGAUGAACUUUUUUAGGGAGCCUCUAAGUUACAAUAAUUGUAACAUACAUUCCUCAUAUGAACCACACAAAAUUGUAGGAUCCACAAUUUAUGUGGUUUACAUGAAGGAUGUAUGUUACAAUUAUUGUAACUUAGCAUUUGCCACUUUUUUAUCCAAAAGGCAUCACAAUCCAUCAUAUUGUCCUUGAGGUGUACUAAAGGUAGUAAGUGGUAUGCUUUCUUCUUCAAACUUGUUUGUCAAUAGCCAGAUUUGCAAUUAGACUUGUUAUAUAUUUUUUUACUAAUUACAAAAGUAAUUAAUGUAUCCUUAUGAGGUUAAAAGUACCCAUCAAAUUUGAUAUACGUAUUGAGUUCUUUAUAAUUAAUAAUCAUACGAGUUUUUCAUCAUUUAAUCUCUGUAUGAUUCCUAACCAUAAAGGUUGGGCUACUAUGUGGACUUUUAGAUUCUCAAAUAAUCUUAAGGUCUAAUAACUCUUUGAUUUAUUUAUUGAAUUCUAAUCUAUCUGUUUGCCCAUCUCUCAUAGGCUUGACUCUUAUAAUAACAUUUGCAUUUAUUAAUUCAAUCUUUGCAUAUGCUUUAUCAACGUCCAUAGUUGAUUUGGUCUUCCGUAAAGUUUUAUCAAGUUUAUCUAAGAUUUUUUACAUAAUCAAAUAUGAUUUGAUUGAUUUUUAUAUUGAAAUCCCCAUGCUAGUUGCUUUGAAAAUGGAAUUUUCGAGUUGUUCACAGUGCAAGUAUAUAAAUCCUAGGUGUAGUGAUGGAGUGAUUACAUGGUGUUUUAAGAAUAACUAUUUCGUUAGUCGUUAUAUAAAUGAACUGAAGAAGGAAAUUAACUCUUAAAAGUAUAUCUACACCCAUAUGAUUAUAAGACCAUAAUUUUGGAAUGCUUAAAACAUAAUCUUCUAUUUCUAUUAAGGUUUUAAUUCUACAUGUUCCUAAGGCAUUUCUCUCACCAUUUAUCCCUUAUCCUUUUAAGGGCUUGUAAUCUUUUCGAUAAUAUUUUGGAUAAGUCCUAAAGUUAGCUAAAUUAACUCCUGAACCUAUAUCAAUCAAAGCAUGCAACCAUUCAGGCUUAUGGUUAUAAUAUGUUAUAAUCUUUUUUACAUAUACCAUAAAGGGGUUACACAUAUCUUAAUAUGAUUUAUUUGAUUCCGUUAAUUGUUAUAUAGUAAGGAGAGAAAUUUUCAAGAAAGUUCAUCCCUAAUAGCAAAUGACUUAUUUCUGUUUCAUAAUCGAUUUCAAUGAAGGAAAGAUAAAUUCUAUCCCCUUAAUUCUUUUAGGAAUGUCACCACAUUGACUUAGCAUUUUUCUUUCUCCAUUAUAUCUUACGUAUAUAUAUGGUUCUUUAAGAAUUUUUCUUUCUAAUAUUUAAUCUUUUGGUAUCAACAUAAGAUUUUGUAGCUCAUGUAUCUAUGAUAGCAAAAGUCUCAUGCCAUGACUUCUUAUGCCAUGACCUUCAAUUAUUAUAAUUAAUCUUGAUCUUUAUAUUUUAAUUAUUUUUUCUAACUGUUGCCAAUAUUUCAUGUGAUGGGGGUAUCACAAGUUGGCAAUAUCUACUAAAACUUUGUAUUCUACUAAAUUCUUGUUCCGUUUUGGGUAUUGAGAAUGAUCUCCUACUCCAUGAAAUGAUUUUCCUAUCUGGAGUAUAUAUUGUAGACUUAGUAGUACUUCCUUUAAUCAAAGUAGUUGACUACUUAAAUUUAUCUCUCAUUCUUCUAUUAAAUCAAUUUCUCUUAAAAUCUCAGGAGAUUGUUGUUGGUUGGUUUCUUUCAAUUGCAAUGGGUGUCAAUGUGCAAGUGAACACAACAAGUAAUAUACUGAUGAAUAUUUAAAUCAACUCUAUAGGGAUUGAUGUUAUCAGAUUUGCUAUAGUAAACUUAGCAGUAUAAUGUUAUCUUAAAUUGAAGAAAAAAAUAAUUAAUGAAGCUAAUGAAUUAAUUAAAAUAAAAAUGCAAUAAGGAAAAUUCUCACGUCAAACAGAAGGAUGUAACCAAUGGGAAUAGAGUAAUUGAGUGAUUAAACUCACUUAAUGGUAUUAACUGUUUUUGUAUUUAAAACAUUGUUGCUACAACAUCUAUUAUAGCACUGGAUAGAAUUCUUCAUGCAUCCUCAUCUGUCCUUUGUUGGAUAUCUUAUACCUAAAUGCAACCUAACAGUGACCAAUAUAGAGCAACGCAUGUAUAGCAGUCAAACAUCCAUUAAGAUUGUUUAUCACUCAACCACAAUCAAAUUCAAUUCAUGACUUGCAAUAAAUCAGUAAAUAAAAUUAUUUUAUCCAUCAAAUACAUCCUCAUAAAUAAAUAGAAAACAAGAAAAUUAGAAGAAUUGAGUUCUGCUUGGUCUUUGUGAUUUGUUUACUUCAUGAGUUCUCUGUUGCAGCUUUCAAUCUCUCUCUUAAUUUCUGUUUUCUUAUUGUUUUCUUUUCAGUAUUCUCCUUGGGUGACGACUCCCCCUUUUUUCUUUUUAUGCAUGCUCUUUUUAUAACUUAAAAUUAGGGCAACCAAAAGUGUGUGGUGUGUAUCCUCCAUUUUUUUGAAACUUCAUAUUGUAAUCUUUUAGUUAUUGGGCGAAAAAUAUAGUCUAUCAUUGCUCCAAGAUUAUUAUAGCAUCUUCAUUGUUCCAGACUUGUUAUAACUCCUCUGUAGUCAAGUUCUUUCAUCAUCUUUACAAGUCUGUUGCAUCAGUAUUUCAUUCAUAAAACUUGAGCUUUUCGGUUGCCUACAAUAAUGCACAUAACUCAAAUUAUUAAAAAUAAAAACACAUCAUUUACUCUCUAAGUAAUAUUGUUUUAAGUCUAAGAGUGUUAUGAUAACUUCCAUUUCAUAUAAUUAUCACACCUCCAAACUUAACACAUUACUUGUCAUUAAGUAAUGACAACUACACUAACACUUCAAUCACACAACUAUACAAUAAACAACUUAGUUUUAUCACUAAGUUUCCUAGGAUUCAUCAACCUUCAUGUCUCACUCUUAGACAUGCAAAAUUGCCAUGACAGUUCCAAUUCUAGACUUAGGUCUUGCUCUGCCUAAAGUGUGUGUGUGACACUUUGAUCAAGUUCUAGAAAUACUGUAGCAUCACACAAACAUCACAUAUAACUCAAGAAUAAAACAUAAGUAUAUUCAUAAAUGGGGGAGCAGAAACCAAAAUAGGUUUAAACUGUACUACAAUUAUUAUUUUUUUGGUACUCUUCAAUGUAUCAUAAUUUUUCAUGUGAAUGUCUACACUUGUAAUGAUGACGCUCAAUUACUUAACUAAUGCACAGAUUAGAGUUGCUGCAGUAGUAACAUUUCAAAUGCUAUAACAUAGACUUAUCUAUAGAUACCUUUAACUCAAGACUGAAUAUGAGGCUCAUGAACAGACCUAACUAUUCAAUAUCCUAGACAGAGGACCUAUCUUGCUUUUUUUUUUUUUUUUUUUUUUUUUUACAAUUGCUAUAGCAAUGCUCAUAACUCUCGCUGCCUUUUUACUCAAGUCUGCAUAUGGGGUAUAUAUUCAACCCUAGUUUCUCAACAAUUAAGUUAUUGGAGCAAGAUUUAUUUCAUAUUAAGUAUUGUUUGUGAUAAAUCUAAAAAAAUUUACCUCCCCAAACUUGAGAUAUUUUUAACCUUUGCUCUACUAGUCUUGUUACAGCAUACUCACAAAACUUAACCAAAGCCUAAGUGUAAAGACAGGGUUUCAACUUUCAUCUAUAAACUAUCCCUACUUGGCAGUCAUUUAUUCCUAUAUUUCAACACUCAGUUCAUCUUAAUUGGGUUUUAUAAGCUACCAACAACAACUAGAUAAACAGAGCUACACACAAACACAUCCAUUCAUGAACACAUUACACCAUUGCACAACCCUUACCAAACUUGAAAGGUAAUGUGUCCUCACGAGCACACAAAAUAAAGCAAAGAAAAACAUGCAUACACUAACAAUAAAAAAAUUCAAAAUGAACAAUAUGAAAUAAAUAACUAAAAAAAAAAGAAAAAUUUCAUAAAUUUGGAAAUUAAUUUGGGUUGGCAGGUGAUAUUCCCCUCUUGUUGAAUGUUGUACUACAACUUGUGCAAAAAAGGUUCACUUCUUCUUAGUUGCACUUCUCAAUCAUUCUUUAGGUGAACCUAGUGAUGUAGCAGCUGGUUGUUUCUUUUUCUGGCUCUGAGUUGGACUGAUUGGUGGGGUUCUAAGAGGUUCAGUAGCUUUGGGUUGAAUUUGCUUUGUUCUCUUGUGUUCUGACUCUUCUGUUGUUGUAGCACCUUCAGAAGGCUGUGCCUCUUUGCAUUUGCUGGAGACCCUAGGAGCUGUGACGGGAGAUUUUUUUGGGGAUUGUUGUGUAGCAGCUUGAGUAGGUGUUUCUGCAGCUGGUUCUUCAGCAUUGAUACUGGCAAUGAGGUCUCGCAGGCUGCUUCUUCCUUCUUUUGUUCUAGCAACUCUGCUAAUAGCUUUCUCUAUAGCUACAUCCACAUCCUCUUCCCAUUCUGAUUCUGGCUCCUCCUUAACCAAAAUUUUUCUAUUUUCCUUUGCAUGUAUGAGUCGCCUUUGGAGGUUCUGCCUCCCUUUCCUCCUCUUAUGUUUGCUCUUCCUUUUUGUUUUUUUCUUUCGCUACGUUCUCUUCUUCUUGUUCUCCAUCUUAAGACUCAUCUGUUGCUUCAACAUCUUCUGCUUUCUUUUGCUCUUGUUGUUAUUCUUCUUUGGACUCUCCUUCAACCUCCUCUGCUACUUCAACAUCUUCACUUUCUUCUGUUGGAGCAGCUUCUUCAGCUUCUUCAAAAUUAAACUACUGCAACAACAAUUCUGUAAAUUCUGUAUUUUUACUCUUCAUGUACAGAGCAAAUUGGUGCUUUUGUGCUUCAAGAUGUUGUAAAUAGGUCCAAAAUCUCUUAUUUUCUUCUAUUUGUGCUUGGACAUAUGCUUUCACUGCUUCACUAAGUUAUUGAAGCAUUUUCUACCCUUGCUGUAGUAUGGUGUUUUGGGGUCGCUGCAGCUAUAGGUUCUUCAGCAAUUCUUUUAACUUUCCUCAUGGUAGUGACCUUUUCAUUAUUUAUUCUCUCAUCACUAUCCUCAAAUUGCACUCUCGAGACUUUACAUAUUCCCAUGAUGAGAGAAUGGAAUAGUAAUGCAGCAGAUUUUUGCUUCUUCAUUGCACAGUCUCUAAUUUCCCUCUCAAUGAUCUUUGCCUAUAUCUACAACUAAGCCCUUGACUAUAGUAUAGAGGAGGAUGAGUAUGUCUUGAGAAAUUAUAGUAGUGUGGGUAGUUGGCAUUAAUCGAGAUUUCAAAAACUUUACCCAAACCUUGGCAAUAGGUUUUAAAUUAUUCUACUAACCACUCGCCCUUCUUUACUCAUCCACUCACUACUCGGGACAAUUAAGGUUUUGAAAACUUCCCCCUAUUUCUUCAUUGUCAUGUUCUCAGCAAAUUGUGUAUAUUCACAAUCUACAACAGUAGGUAAAUCAUAGAAUGCAUUAAAAACUCUAGAGUCUAAAGGGACUUGUAAUUGCCUUAAAAAGAUAUUCCGUUGAUCCUGCUGUAGCAAGUUGGAGUAGAAUUUCUUUACAAUCGGGAUGAUUGGAUCUUGGAGGUGAGAGCGAAAUUUUACCGAUCUUUUUCUUACUACAACGUUAUAGAUGUUCAUUAUUCAUAUUGGUUGCUUUGGGAAUAUAAAGUCCUUUUCCUCUAAAAGUUUUCAUGGCUCUAUAAAUUCCUCAAAUUUGUCUUUUGUUCUGUAGUUAUGGAAGCAUGAAGGGUCUUUCAAUCUAGCAGCUUGUGUCUUAAAUUUCGGCAUUGUUAUAGCAGUUUGAAUAGAAUUGUGUUGUGUUGAAAAGAAAAGAGAAUGUAAAAAGACUUGUAAAUAUUAUUGAGAAUUAUUUAUGGGGAUAGAAAGAGUUGCGGUGGAAUUGAAAAAGGUUUCAGUGAAUCCCUAAUUUAUAGCAAUUAGGAAAGUAGAAUUAAGAAAGUAAUUAAGAGGAUAACUUGGAAAGGAUUUUUUGAAAUUUAAAAACAAAUUUAAAUAAAACAAGGAAGAGAUAUAUAUGUCACAGUAAUUUAGGGAUUGCAUAAUCUCCCCUUAUCUUCAAUUCUAAUUUGCUGACGCUAGCCUGUCAGUCUUCUAACAGUAAAAAUCCAAGGACUACCAGUGCAACGGUAAAAAUUCCUACUGCAGCAAUUAAUCCGUUGUUGUAGCAACAAUGACAAACUCCCCUAUUAGUUGAGAACCAUCUUUCAACUGCCAUGUUGACUAUAAUGCAACUCGCUGUAAUGAAAAAACAAAACAGAAAAGAAUCCAAUGCUCAAAUUAGAAUGAAAUAGAAGUAAAUUAAAAGUCUUCAAAUCUUGACUUAACUUUUAAAGAAAAAUUAAAACAAUUUCCCUCAUUGGGUUUCCUCCCAAUUAGUACUUCAUUUUAGGUUCUUCAGCCCGACCGUGCUUGAUUGCUCAUGUUGGAUCCCUUAGGAAAAGGUCCUCCCUUGGGGAUUUACAGCAGCUCCCAUGUAAUGUUUCACCCUAUGCCCAUUCACCUUGAAUUCUUGACCUGUUCUUUCAUCUUGAAGUUCAACAACCCCAUGAGGACAAACUUUGAUAAGUUUAAAAGUCCUGACUAUCGAGAUUUCAUUUUUCUAGGGAAGACCUUUAAUUUCGAGUUAUAGAGCAAGACUUGACUGCGUGGAAUGAAUUCGCUUUGUUGGAUUCUUUGUCAUGUCAUUGUUUGGUCUUCUCCUUAUAAAUUCUUGCAAUUUCAUAGAAAAAUAAUUGUAACUCCUCUAGCUCAAAAAGUUGUAAUUUUCUUUCUUCUGGUGCAGCAGUCAUACCCAUAGUCAGCUGCUUGACUGCUCAACAUGCUUUGUGCAUCAGCUGUAAUACAAAUGACAGACUUUUCCAUAAACAAUUAUGUAUGGGGACAUGCCAAGUGGAGUUUUAUAGGCUGUUCGAUAAGCCAAUAAAGAGUCAUUUAAUCUAACUGACCAAUCCUUUCUAUUGGGACUCAUAACUUUCUGCAAAAUAUUCUUUAUCUUUCUAUUAGAUACCUCUGUUUGUCCAUUUGUUUGUGGAUGAUAUGUUGUAGCAACCUUAUACUUCAUUCCACAUUUAGUCAAUGUUGCAGCAAAUGUUCUGUUGCAAAAAUGUGUUCCUUUAUCAGUAAUAAUAGCUCUUGGAGUAUCAAAUCUUGAGAAGAUGUUUUUUUAAAGGAAAUUCACUACUGCCUUGGCAUCAUUAAUUGGUAAUACUACAACUUCCACCCAUUUGGAGACAUAGUCCACAACUAUUAGGAUGCAUAAAUUGUCGAAAGAGGGUAGGAACUGUCCCAUAAAAUUUAUCCCAUAUACAUCAAAGAGUUUCACUUCCAAAAUAUUAAUCAGUGACAUCUCAUGUUUUUAAGAGAUGUUCCUUGCUCUUUGACACAUGUCAUAAUAUUUAACAAUCUCUUAAACAUCCUUAAAAAUAGAGGGCCAUUAGUAACUUGAUUGAAGGACUUUUGAUGCUGUCUUGUGCCCUUCAAAGUGUCCUCUAUAUGCUACAGUAGGAUAGAACUGCAGGAUGUUUGAAAUUUCUUCAUCUGGCACACAUCAUUUAAUCAUUUGAUCUGAACACAUCUUGUACAAGUAGGGCUCAUCUCACCAAUAACGUUUUACAUUAUGAAGAAAUCUUUUUUUUUUUGCAGGUAGCUCAAACGGGUGGUAAUAAUCCACUCACCAAAUAAUUAGCAAAAUCUGCAUACCAUGGAAAUCCUGAUUGUUGCAGCCUCUGAGUGUAUAGUACCAUUAACAAUUACUCAUCAAGGAAUGUUUUUGUGAUAUCCUGCUUGGUCAGAGUGCUUUCAUUUACUUCCAGCAUUAAAAGAUGAUCUGAUACUUGAUUCUCAGUGCCUUUUUUAUCAUUGAUCUCCAAAUCAAACUCUUGUAGCAACAUAAUCUACCUAAUCAACCUUGUUUUGGCAUCUUUCUUUGAAAUCAAAUACUUUAUAGGCGAGUGAUCUAUAUAAACAAUCACUUUGGUGCCAACCAAAUAGGUUCUGAAUUUAUCAAAUGUAAAAACAAUAGCCAGUAGCUCUUUUUCAAUGGUCGUAUAAUUUAGUUGUGCAUUAGUUAAAGUCUUGCUGGCAUAAUAAAUGGAGUGAAAAAUCUUGCCUUUCUUUUGCCCUAACACUGCUUCAACAGAAUAGUCUAACAUCACACAUCAAUUCGAAAGGCAUAUUUAAUAAAGUAUUAUAACAAUGGGUGUUGUAACAAGAGUUUUCUUCAACUCAACAAAGGCCUUUAAAUAAUUCUCAUCAAAAUUGAAGGGUCUAUCAUGUUUCAGCAAUAUGCAUAAAGGUUUGGCUAUUUUGGAAAAGUCUUUAAUGAACCUUCUAUAGAACCCAGCAUGUCCUAAGAAACUCGUAAUGCCUUUUAUUGAAUUAGGUGGUGGAAGUUUAUCAAUCACUUCUAUUUUUUCCCUAUCCACCUCUAUUCUCUUUCUAAAAACUCUAUGGUCUAAGAUUAUCCCUUCUUGUACUAUAAAAUGACAUUUUUUUCCAAUUCAACACUAAGUUGGUCUCUUCAUAUCCUUUUAGUACAUUUUUUAGAUUAUGCAAAUAGUCAUCGUAUGAUUUCCCAAAAACUAAAAAAAUCAUCUAUGAAUACCUCAAGUGUUUGCUCAACCAUAUCUGAAAAAAUAGACAUCAUACACUUCUAGAAAGUUGUUGGAGCAUUGCAUAGACCAAAUGAUAUCGUGCUGAAGGCAAAGGUUCCAUAAGGACAAGUGAAUGUUGUAUUCUCUUGAUUUUUAUGUGGUUCGGCUAACCGCGCCUACGUCAACGCCUCCAAGCUCACCGGGCUUGAGGAUUCCACUAAGCAAGCCUCUAAAUCAAGUGUUUGACCUUUCUUCCUUUACUCUUUUAUCUUUGAGUAUUGUUAAAUUUAUUGUUUUUAAAUACAUACCAUACAUCUUUGUUGUGAUCAACAAAUGCAAUACUAUUUAACUAUUUUUGAAAUGUUUUGGCCACUAAACAAAUUUAGUGCAAAACUGUUUUUGAAAUGCUUUGGCCACUUACUGAGGGGGAGCACACAUUAAGGGGGAACAAUCUUGUCUAGUCUUGAAAUGUUUGUCAUCAUAAAAAAAAGAGGAGAUUGUCAACUCUUUUAUUUUUAUAAUAAUGAUUUUAAUAAUAACAAACAUGUUUUCAAUUGAUUAGAAGUCAAUUGUAAGAGUGAUUAAAGCCUUGGAGGCUUGCUUAGUGGAAUCUUCAAGCCCGGUGAGCUUGGAGGCGUGGACGUAGGCACGGUUAGCUGAACCACGUAAAAAUCAAGUGUUUGAUCUCUCUUCCUUUACUCUUUUAUCUUUGAGUAUUGUUAAAUUUAUUAUUUUUGUUUUCAUUAAGGCAUUAGAUUAAAAUUGUUGUGUGGUUUGAUUAGGUUAAAUUUUAGAAACCCAAUUCACCCCGUUUUUGGGUUGCUUAGUUAAUAUUUCAUCAGUCUUCUCUGUUGCUCCACAAAAUUGCUAUAGCAAUCCUCCAGCAAAAUCUUAUGCAUGCAUAUAGAUGGGUUGAUUCCCUUGAUAUCUGUCAUGGUCCAUUCAAUAGCCUUCUUGUAUCUCCCCAACACAUCUACCAAGCUCUUAUCUUGAUUUGCAUUCAAAGAAGAUGAAAUGAUUACAAGAAGUAUGUUAUUGUCACCAAGAUAAACAUACUUCAAAUGUAAAGGUAAAUAUUUAAUUCUAAUAUAUGAGGGGACUCAAUGAAAGGAACAUAAGAUUUUACUUUAUUGUUUGAGAGGUCUAAAGAUUCAAAGCGUCUGUCAGUUCUCACGAGUUACUUCUCUUCUAGCCAUGCUAUGUCUGUUGCUUCGAGUUCUUCCUUUUUCUGUUAUUUGAAUGUUACAGAUUUGACUUCUUCAUUGCUGCAGCAACUGUUUAGUCUAUCUGUAACAGCAAAAUUCACAACACUAAUAAAAUUACAAUCUUUAACAUCAUUUGGAUUCUUCAUGGCAUCUAACACAUUGAAUGUAACUUGUUGAUUAUUAUCCCGCAUAGUUAAUUCUCCUUUUUGCACAUCAAUUAAAGUCUUUCCAGUGGCUAAAAAAAGUCUUCCUAAAAUGAUGGGUGCUUUUUUAUCUCCCUUGAAGUCUAGGACUAUGAAAUCCACUUGAAAAGUAAAUUUAUCCACCUUUAUUAAUAUAUAUUCAAUCUUCACUUUUGAAUAGGCGUGUGAUCUGUCAGCAAGUUGUAAAGUCGCUGUUGUUGGCCUAACUUCUCCAACUCCCAAUUGCUUGAACAUUAACAAAGGCAUGAUAUUGUUGCUAGCCUCUACAUCACAAAGUGCCUUACCAUUGUAUUUAAUUCCUAUGGAACAUGGGAUUGUGAAGCUUCCUAAAUCUUUCAACUUCUGAGGGAUUUUGUUAUGAAGCAUAUGGCUGCAUUCUUGUGUCAGAGCAAUUGUUCCAAACUCUCCAAGCCUCAUUUUCCUUGCCAAAAUAUCUUUCAAGAAUUUCACACAGUUUGGCAUUUGUUCAAGAGCUUCCACAAAAGGAAUGUUGAUAUGUAGAUGCUCCAAUACUUCCAAGAACUUGUUGAUUGCUUGUCUUACUUUUGCUUUUGGAAUCUUUGUGGAAAGGGUGGUAGGUGUUUGAAUUGUUAUAUUGCAGCAGGCUGUGCAGACUGCUUCUCUUUUGCCAUGUUUCGAAUUGAUAUAGUUGGUACUAUAGCAUCUUCUUCCACAAUUGCUGGAUCAUUAGUUUUUGCAGAUUCUGUAACUUGGUUGUCCUCAUUAGUGUGGUGAAAAGUGGGGUGUUGUUGUUUCUCUUCAACUUGAGUCUCUUCUUGGGUUAAAAUGGGUUCAACUCUUUUUUUU
RNAcentral lists this long non-coding RNA (21421 nucleotides) under Citrus maxima (pomelo). RNAcentral describes it as "long non-coding RNA (CMAX_LNC003802)". Lineage: Eukaryota; Viridiplantae; Streptophyta; Magnoliopsida; Sapindales; Rutaceae. The record is from RNAcentral.